CCAGGCAGUGUGGUGGUCUGGGCAGGGUGAGUAGUCUAGGCAGUGUGGUGAUCCGGGCAGUGUGAGUGCUCCAGGCAGUGUGGUGGUCUGGGCAGGGUGAGUAGUCUAGGCAGUGUGGUGAUCCGGGCAGUGUGAGUGCUCCAGGCAGUGUGGUGGUCCGGGUAGGGUGGUAGUCUUAACAGGGUGAGUGGUCCGGGCAGUGUGGUGGUCCGGGUAGGGUGGUAGUCUUAACAGGGUGAGUGGUCCGGGCAGUGUGGUGGUCCGGGCAGUGUGGUGGUCCGGGCAGGGUGAGUGGUCCGGACAGUGUGGUGGUUCGGGCAGUGUGGUGGUCUGGGCAGUGUGGUGGUCCAGGCAGGGUGAGUGGUCCGGGCAGUGUGGUGGUCCGGGCAGUGUGGUGGUCUGCGUAGGGUGUUGGUCCCAGUAGGGUGGUGAGCCUGGCAGGGUGAGUGAUCUGAACAGUGUUUCGUCUGGGGCAGAGGUAAAGGUGCUGGCAGAGACAUCAAGCUCCGUCCAUUUUCCCGGCAGUGCUGUUGAGUGUGGCUGGAGGAUCCGAGGGUGUGGUCUGAGCGACCUCAGUGGGGCCUUGAUUGCUGGGUGUUGUCCAGAAACCCGCCGCUCCUCCCACUGGCCUUGACCUUGGCUGGGCUGGGGGUUGCUGGGCGGCAGGGGCAGGCAGCCACCUCUGCACACAGGGCCACCCUCGCCACUGCUCUCCCCAUUGGAUUCUGCAGAGCCGGGGACUUCACGGCCCUGACCGCUGCCCUGUAUCUCGGUGACGUGAUGUGCUCGUGUUGGUUUUUCCUGUCUUUUUUUAGACUUAAUCAGAAAUAAGGUAGAAGGUCAGAGUCCACAGCAAAGAGGCACAGAGGGGAACGGCAGCUCCUUGGGUCCCACGGGGCUGUGCCUGCUCCUUGGUGGGGACACUGGAGGCCCAGAGUGGCACAGACCCUGUCUUCACUGAGGGGAGAAAGAGGCAGCCCCGGGGCAUGAGAGCCACCCCUGCUGAUGCUGCCCCGGGCCCACAAGGGCCAAGCUCCAGGAACAUGGAAGUCCUGCCCUGGGCAGCACAGCCUCCAGAUUCCAAGAACCCAGCCUGGCACCCCAGGCUGGGCACAGCAAGGAGAGAGACUUCGACACUCUGCAUUAAGAUGGUAGCUCGUGGCCGGCGCGGUGGCUCAUCCCUGUAAUCCCAGCACUUUGGGAGGCCGAGGCGGGUGGAUCACAAGGUCAGGAAUCAAGACCAUCUGGUUAACACCAUGAAACCCUGUCUCUUAAAAAUAUGAAAACUUAGCCGGGCGUGGUGGCAGGCGCCUGUAGUCCCAGCUACUGGGGGGAGGCCGAGGCAGGAGAAUGGCGUGAACCUGGGAGGCGGAGCUUGCAGUGAGCCGAGAUCACAUCACUGCACUCCAGCCUGCGCCACAGAGCAAAACUCCGUCACACACACACAAAAAAAUGGUAGCUCCUGAGCCAACACUUUUCCGCUCCCCCACCCGCUGCGUCUCAGCAUUCCUUAGGCUCUCCCCUUGGGAGACUCACAUGUAUGGGGCGGGGGAGCGGGGGUUUCCUAGGCCCUGACUCAGCUAGAGCGUCUGGCUGACCCGUCAUUGUCCAGGGAAGCCAUGGAUCUGGUGGCCGCAGCCCAGCGCCGUCCUCACCACCCAGGCCUGCCUGGAGCCCAGUGGCUGUCAGGGCAGCCGAGACCAGAAGCGCAGGUGGAGCCAAGGCCCCGCUGCAGUCCGCAGAGUUGCAACUCUGGGAGCUGAGCCCUCACAAGCCUUGCUUUUCACCUCCUCCCAGUGCUACCAGCCAGACCCCGAGGGCCCGGGACCCUCCAUGUACCCAUCCACACUUCUCGGCCCACCCCUCCCUGACAGCCCCGGCACCCCGGGAGGGAGCAGGUGCGUCCCGCUUCGGGCCCUCUGAACCCCCUCCAUUUCGGGCUGUUUCAGACUUCGGCCUCUCUGAAGCUCCUCCAUUUCUGGCUGCUUUUCACUGCCGUCUGCCUGCCUGUGUUCUUGUCUUCACGCCGGCCUUUGGACUGCAGUGUGAGAAGGCAGCACCGCCCCGGCGCCCGCGAGGAAGCCGAACUGCUCAUAAGUUAAGCAGCCCCAGCCAGGUCACGGGGCAAGGAAGCCGCCUGCGACCUCGGAAACCCCUGGUUCAUCCCAUGACCCACCCCCGUUCAUCCGGUGACCCACCCCUCACCCCGGUUCAUCCCGUGACCCACCCCCCCGUUCAUCCCAUGACCCAGCCCCCCACCCCGGUUCAUCCCAUGACCCAGCCCCCCACCCCGGUUCAUCCCAUGACCCACCCCCCACCCCGGUUCAUCCCGUGACCCACCCCCCGUUCAUCCCAUGACCCAGCCCCCCACCCCGGUUUAUCCCGUGACCCACCCCCUGUUCAUCCCGUGACCCACCCCCCGUUCAUCCCGUGACCCAGCCCCCAACCCCGUUCAUCCCGUGACCCACCCCCAACCCCGGUUUAGCCCGUGACCCACCCCCCCCCCGUUCAUCCCGUGACCCACCCCCCGGUUCAUCCCGUGACCCAGCCCCCAACCCCGUUCAUCCCGUGACCCAGACCCCACCCUGGUUUAUCCCAUGACCCACCCACGGUUCAUCCUGUGACCCGCCCCCCGUUCAUCCCGUGACCCACCCCCCACCCCUGGUUUAUCCCGUGACCCACCCCCGGGUCAUCCUGUGACCCAGACCCCACCCUGGUUUAUCCCAUGACCCGCCCACGGUUCAUCCUGUGACCCGCCCCCCGUUCAUCCCGUGACCCAGCCCCCCACCCCUGGUUUAUCCCGUGACCCACCCCCGGGUCAUCCUGUGACCCAGACCCCACCCCUGGUUUAUCCCGUGACCCACCCUCGGGUCAUCCCGUGACCCAGACCCCACGCCUGGUUUAUCCCGUGACCCACCCGCAGCACCAGCACCUCAGUGCUGCUUUUGUAUUUAUAGUCGCCUUGCUGUAUGUUGAGCGUAAUUUUACAAUCUGCCCAAAAUUCCUUUGAAGAGCAGAUAGGUGUGUACACCCUAAAUGAAUAAAAUACAGUGCGAUUUGGUGAAAGGUAA
Molecule: long non-coding RNA, 3071 nt
Filed under: Homo sapiens (human)
Lineage: Eukaryota; Metazoa; Chordata; Mammalia; Primates; Hominidae
Description: HSALNT0083006
Source: RNAcentral